RNAcentral lists this ribosomal RNA (492 nucleotides) under uncultured bacterium. RNAcentral's name for it is "partial 16S ribosomal RNA". It matches the Rfam family "Bacterial small subunit ribosomal RNA", at positions 29 to 507 of the family's 1533-position model. The record is from RNAcentral.
AGUGAACGCUGGCGGUAGGCCUAACACAUGCAAGUCGAACGGCAGCACAGUAAGAGCUUGCUCUUACGGGUGGCGAGUGGCGGACGGGUGAGGAAUAAAUCGGAAUCUACUUUUUCGUGGGGGAUAACGUAGGGAAACUUACGCUAAUACCGCAUACGACAUACGGGUGAAAGCAGGGGAUCUUCGGACCUUGCGCGAUUGAAUGAGCCGAUGUCGGAUUAGCUAGUUGGCGGGGUAAAGGCCCACCAAGGCGACGAUCCGUAGCUGGUCUGAGAGGAUGAUCAGCCACACUGGAACUGAGACACGGUCCAGACUCCUACGGGAGGCAGCAGUGGGGAAUUUUGGACAAUGGGCGCAAGCCUGAUCCAGCCAUGCCGCGUGGGUGAAGAAGGCCUUCGGGUUGUAAAGCCCUUUUGUUGGGAAAGAAAAGCAGCAGGUUAAUACCCCGCUGUUCUGACGGUACCCAAAGAAUAAGCACCGGCUAACUUCGUG